GAUGAACGCUGGCGGCGUGCCUAAUACAUGCAAGUCGAGCGAACAGAUAAGGAGCUUGCUCCUUUGACGUUAGCGGCGGACGGGUGAGUAACACGUGGGUAACCUACCUAUAAGACUGGAAUAACUCCGGGAAACCGGGGCUAAUGCCGGAUAACAUUUAGAACCGCAUGGUUCUAAAGUGAAAGAUGGUUUUGCUAUCACUUAUAGAUGGACCCGCGCCGUAUUAGCUAGUUGGUAAGGUAACGGCUUACCAAGGCAACGAUACGUAGCCGACCUGAGAGGGUGAUCGGCCACACUGGAACUGAGACACGGUCCAGACUCCUACGGGAGGCAGCAGUAGGGAAUCUUCCGCAAUGGGCGAAAGCCUGACGGAGCAACGCCGCGUGAGUGAUGAAGGUCUUCGGAUCGUAAAACUCUGUUAUUAGGAAAGAACAAAUGUGUAAGUAACUGUGCACGUCUUGACGGUACCUAAUCAGAAAGCCACGGCUAACUACGUG
RNAcentral lists this ribosomal RNA (497 nucleotides) under uncultured bacterium. RNAcentral describes it as "partial 16S ribosomal RNA". It matches the Rfam family "Bacterial small subunit ribosomal RNA", at positions 28 to 507 of the family's 1533-position model. The record is from RNAcentral.